This 193-nucleotide non-coding RNA is filed under the name unclassified sequences. Its description in RNAcentral is "IS605-orfB-I RNA". It matches the Rfam family "IS605-orfB-I RNA". The record is from Rfam by way of RNAcentral.
ACCUUAUACAAAUGUAUUAACUGCAAGACAAGUUAGCAUUUCCCUAUAAGGUGGUUUUAGUUAGAAGCCUUAACGAUAAUUAGUAUUGUAUGGCAUGUUGUUGAAAUACUAUGAGUUAAGGUGAAAUAGGUUAACCGUGAGACCUUAAGUUGAAAAACUUUAAAAUUGAACUAAUGUAUUUAGUUACGGUUCG